ACUUAAAUAGCUUAUAAUUAGAGCGUGACAUUGAAGAUGUCAAGGAAAUGUUUAUUAUUUUUGAGUA
RNAcentral lists this transfer RNA (67 nucleotides) under Traulia lofaoshana. RNAcentral's name for it is "tRNA-Phe". It matches the Rfam family "tRNA". From Rfam's summary of the family: Transfer RNA (tRNA) molecules are approximately 80 nucleotides in length. Lineage: Eukaryota; Metazoa; Arthropoda; Insecta; Orthoptera; Acrididae. The record is from RNAcentral.